ACAGGUGCUGCAUGGCUGUCGUCAGCUCGUGCCGUGAGGUGUUCGGUUAAGUCCGGCAACGAGCGCAACCCGUGUCACUAGUUACCGGCAUGUAAUGGUGGGGACUCUAGUGAGACUGCCUGUGUUAAGCAGGAGGAAGGCGCGGAUGACGUCAAGUCAGUAUGGCCCUUACGUCCGGGGCUGCACACGUGCUACAAUGGGGGGUACAAUGGGAUGCAAUGUCGCGAGGCGGAGCAAAUCCACAAAACCUCCCUUAGUUCAGAUUGCAGUCUGCAACUCGACUGCAUGAAGUUGGAAUCGCUAGUAAAGGCGUAUCAGCUACGACGCCUUGAAUACGUUCCCGGGCCUUGUACACACCGCCCGUC
Molecule: ribosomal RNA, 365 nt
Filed under: uncultured Lentisphaeria bacterium
Lineage: Bacteria; Pseudomonadati; Lentisphaerota; Lentisphaeria
Description: bacterial SSU rRNA
Rfam family: Bacterial small subunit ribosomal RNA
Source: RNAcentral